UUGGAUGUGAUGAAGAACUUGAUGUUUGAGCUCUGCAGUGAUGGUUCAUGUAUUCUUACUGUCUGAUCCAG
RNAcentral lists this small nucleolar RNA (71 nucleotides) under Pogona vitticeps (central bearded dragon). The record is from RNAcentral. Lineage: Eukaryota; Metazoa; Chordata; Lepidosauria; Squamata; Agamidae.